ACCAGAUCAACCAGCUGAACCAUCUCGGUUAACCAUUCAGACCAGUUCUGUAUGCCCUGAAGGCCUUGUUUGGGAUCGUUCAGCAGUCCUUUUCUUGAGUCUUUUCUUCUAUUGACUCAUCCGCUGUUACUUGAGUCAUUCUUGAAUUGUUAUCAAGAAUCAUUUGUGACUCGUUUAUGCCUUCACGUGCAUGAUCUGGCUGCAUGUGAGUGGCGAUUUCAGGGUCUAAUAUACAUUAAUGGCCCCUUCCCAAACAGUUCAAACUUUUGGGAUCUCAUGGAUGGACAAAGCCCAUCUUGGAAGUAAUACAUUGGAUGAUCAGUACCACUAAUGCGGUUACUGAAGGGUCUUGCAAGUUCACAUUAGUACUUUUUAGGAGCAAAUGAGCAAUCAUGGCUCGUGUCACAUUAUUAUUAUGUUUGAAAAAAAAAAGCCUCAACUCCAUGGGUUGACAUUGUUACUUUCUGAAACUACAUCUAGCUGUUGCCUUGAAAUUUUUCAUCACCUUCUAAAUCUGUGGCUGUUAUCCUGUCGUACUGUUUCUGUUCCACAAUUUAUUGCAUCCUGCAGGUUUGAGGACAUUCUGGAGGUGUAUGAAACUGAAUGGACAUCCAGGUAAGAAUUAUGAACAUCAUUUCAUUGAUGGCACAGUUGACUAUGCACUUGGGAGUGAAGGUGAUCAUGUGUUGGCUUGCAAGAACUGUAGUUGAGAUGUACAUACUACAGAGGAAUUUUUCAGCUCAAGAUCUGGUGGCUAGUCUGAAAAAUCCUAGACUUCAAGUUUCUCUUCAACUCUAACGCUACAAGAACAGAAUUGGGUCCAAUCCUACAGGGUGAAGAACAAGAGGCAGUAUAAUCUGGCUGCAUAAAAGGCACUAUAAUGUGGAGAAGAAUCCAGUAGCCAAAAUGUAGCUGUCCUGCAUAGAAGUCCAAUACUAAUUUGGCAAUAAGAGGCACUAUCAUCUGUAUUGGCCUUGUAGAAUUAUGGGAAGAUGCCCACGGUGUGCUAGGGAAUGAGAUUUUUAUGGAAUCAAACUCAGUGUUUAGUCCAAAGAUUUGGACCAUCAUAUGGAAUCUUUAUAUUGGAGAUGAGUUGAUGUCCUAUGCAUUGUCUAAGCUUCGCUGUACCAGUACCAUCACAGUAAUGCAAAUCCUAGCGGCGCUGGCGAUUUCAUCUCUGCAUCUAGUUUUUCCAAUUGUUAUAUACAAUAGCAAACAAAUGCACAAGCACAACUCCAGAGGAACCUUGGGUUAAGGAAUUCUAGCUGGAGGAGCCCAGAUAGGACAAUCAGGAUUUUAAAACUAAAAUGCCUGCCUUGACUGCAUUUUAAAGGAUGGACAAAGCCCAUAUCAAGGGGAAUACAUUUUUUUUUUAAAUGGUGAUCAGUACCGAGCAACUCAUGCAGUUAUCAAAGGGUUUUAGGACAUUCCUGGGGAUGUAUGAGACUGAAUGAAAAUCCAUGUUAAAGGGUGCAUAAAUCUGGUGAUUUGUCUUCAAUUGGUUGGCGUCAUUGGCACAUACAAAUAUUUAUAGUUUUCUCCUGGCACAUGAUAUUUAACAUGUACAAAUUAUGAAUAUUGUCUCAUUGAAGAGAUGGUUGUAUAUGCACUUGAGUUAAGCUGGUCUUGUAUUGGUUCACAAGAACUACGAUUGAGAUGUAUGUACUGCAGAGGCAUUUCUUGGCUCAAGAUUUGGACUCUUGCACCACUUAUCUUAGCGGGCAUCUUAGGUAUUCAUAUUUUUUUAUCACCAUAAGUACAUAAUAUGUGAAAAGCUGACUCCAAAUAGCUGGGACAAGGCUAGAUGGUAGGGUAUUAUUUGUGCGAAAACAUCCAUGAACUAACUCUCAGUGCAUAGAUCCUUUUGCCUUGAAGGGUUUGGUUCCAGCAUAUGGUAAGAUCAGCAAUGGCCAUAUGACUAUUUUCAUUGGAUUCACUCCAUGUUUACCAUAAAUGAAAAAUCAGGUGAACACAAACUGUACCAAAUGAAUGUGAUUGGCAUAGCUAAUGCUAUCACACAAAUAUCACCAGAACAGUAGUCACCACCAUGACAAUCUCCAGUGUCUAGGUAUCUUUGUUCUCAAGUUUGUUUGCUUCAUGACUGAUCUUCUUUACAGAUCUUGCUGGUAAGAUCCAAUGUUUCACUUGAACAGAAAAUAGAGCAAAAGUGCGGAGGGUGAGCCUUGGGACAGUGGUACGGUUACUCCAUUGCAUCCUUGACGUCAUAGAUUCGAAACACAGAAAUCACCUCUCUGCAUAUUGUGUAGGUUUCCCAUGUGGCAGGGAAUUAGAAGGCAUAAGACUAUAUGGCUGAGAGUAAGCAUCAAAACUUAGUCCAAAUUUCAACAAAUUGGGGCAUAUAUUUUCAAUCGUACCAGAAUGGUUCCCGAGAGAGUUUAUAGGUGUCAGCUUGCAGUAUCUGGUGGUUUCUUUGCAUAGAGGGUUUGUGUCAUCUCUUUUGAGCCCCUAUAAAGAGUGAGUAAUCAUGAUCAAUAUCUGGCAUGUUCAGUAUUACAUAAUACUCUUAUUAUAUAAGGAUGAAUUACAUGCAUAAUGCAUGUAGGAGUGUAAAUGGGUUGAGCUCGAGCGAGCUAGAGCUAGCUCAAGUUCGGCUUGCUUUGUAAUCAAGCUGAAUGUAAGCUAUUUACAACCAAUUUGUUUAAGAACGUAAAGAAAGCUGAAGGUUAUUCAAGGUUCUCAUUUGUAUUUUUUAA
This is a non-coding RNA of Elaeis guineensis (African oil palm), 2714 nucleotides long. The record is from RefSeq and is a predicted model, not a curated record. Lineage: Eukaryota; Viridiplantae; Streptophyta; Magnoliopsida; Arecales; Arecaceae.